RNAcentral lists this ribosomal RNA (445 nucleotides) under uncultured bacterium. RNAcentral describes it as "bacterial SSU rRNA". It matches the Rfam family "Bacterial small subunit ribosomal RNA", at positions 330 to 792 of the family's 1533-position model. The record is from RNAcentral.
UCCAGACUCCUACGGGAGGCAGCAGUGGGGAAUAUUGCACAAUGGGGGGAACCCUGAUGCAGCGACGCCGCGUGGGUGAAGGAGCACCUCGGUGCGUAAAGCCCUAUCGGCAGGGAAGAAACAGACGGUACCUGACUAAGAAGCCCCGGCUAACUACGUGCCAGCAGCCGCGGUAAUACGUAGGGGGCAAGCGUUAUCCGGAUUCACUGGGUGUAAAGGGAGCGUAGACGGCGACGCAAGUCUGGAGUGAAAGCCCGGGGCCCAACCCCGGGACUGCUCUGGAAACUGUACGGCUGGAGUGCAGGAGAGGUAAGUGGAAUUCCUAGUGUAGCGGUGAAAUGCGUAGAUAUUAGGAGGAACACCAGUGGCGAAGGCGGCUUGCUGGACGAUGACUGACGUUGAGGCUCGAAAGCGUGGGGAGCAAACAGGAUUAGAUACCCCAGUA